CACGUAGGCGGCCCGUCAAGCGUCUUGUGAAAUCCCUCGGCUCAACCGAGGAAUUGCUGGGCGAACUGGCGGGCUUGAGACAGGCAAGGGUGCGUGGAACUCUUGGUGGAGCGGUGAAAUGCGUAGAUAUCAAGAGGAACGCCGGCGGCGAAAGCGACGCACUGGGCCUGACCUGACGCUGAGGUGCGAAAGCCAGGGUAGCGAACG
Molecule: ribosomal RNA, 207 nt
Filed under: uncultured bacterium
Lineage: Bacteria
Description: partial 16S ribosomal RNA
Rfam family: Bacterial small subunit ribosomal RNA
Source: RNAcentral